AUGAUGGACUAUAGGACAGGACUGCUGCUUUUAACUGUCUGCUGGGCAGGUGUUGAUGGUCAGACUCUGACAGAAUCUGAACCACUGGUUAAAAGGCCUGAAGAAUCCCACAGAUUGACCUGUACAGCCUCUGGAUUCACAUUCAGCAGCUACCCUAUGAACUGGGUCAGACAGGCUCCUGGAAAAGCACUGGAGUGGGUUGCUUACAUCUAUACUAGUGGCAUCUACUCUCAGUCAGUUCAAGGCCGGUUUACCAUCUCCAGAGACGACAGCAGACAGCAGGUGUAUCUGCAGAUGAACAGUCUGAAGACUGAAGAUUCUGCUGUUUAUUAUUGUGCUCGACAGCCUCACAUGGAGAUGCAGCACUGUGAUUACUUCGACUACUGGGGUCGUGGGACUGAAGUCACAGUAUCUACAGGAACACCCACACCACCAACACCACCCACUCUGUUCCCUUUGGUUCAGUGCCAACCUGGGUCUGGAGAUAAAAUCACUGUUGGUUGUUUUGCACGUGACUUCUACCCAAAGAGUCUUACAUUCCAGUGGACCGAUGCCAGUGGGACCACCCUGACUUCUGAAAAUUAUCCUCCAGCUGAGAACAACAACAAAUAUACAGGAGUCAGUUUGGUCAAAGUAUCAAAAUCUGAUUGGGAUUCAAGGAAGUCUUUUAAAUGUUCUGUAAAUCACAACGGAUCUCCCACAAAUCUGCAUGUUCAAAAGCCUCCAAAAGUGACUUUGCUAUCAGUGCCAAGUGAAGACACCCAGGCCCUGGUGUGCACGCUUGAGGGCGGUAAUGGAAAACUUGACUCAUUCAAGUGGAAAAAGAAUGACGCAGAGUUGAACGACUACAUUCAAAGUCCCAUCCAAAAAACUGGAGACUUGUAUUCAGCUGUCAGUGUCCUGAAGGUCAACAACGCAGACUGGGACAGUAACGCUGUGUAUACCUGUGAGGUGACUUACAGAGAAACACAAUAUAAAAAGAAGGCCUCAAAAGCUCCAAUCAAAGUGACACUGAACCAACCAAGUGCCAAAGAAAUUUUCAGCAACAACCGGGCAGAGUUGGAGUGUAUCAUUACAGGACAAGACAAGACCAUUGUAAAUACAAUUCAAAUCACUUGGCAAAUUGAUGGACUAGAUGUGACCAACAACAUUGCUGAAUCAACUGUCAAGUCUGUAGGCGUUCAGCACAGCAAAACCAGCACGAUAACUCGUAGUCUGUCUGAGUGGCAGAGAGUCAACAAAGUGCGCUGUUCUGCUAUUAGAGACGAUAUGACUCCAGUUAUUCAAGAUCUGACUGUCCACAAAGGAGAUGGGAGUGAGCCAAAAGUGACAGUCUAUGUUCUCCCAGAGGAGGACAUCAGCAACGGAGCUGAGGUCUCUCUGGUGUGUGUGGUCUCUGGUCCUGUGCUGCAGGAUUACUACAUCGCCUGGUCAGAAGGUUCUGGAAAUAAGGCCGACAUCUAUAUGAAUGGCAUCAACUUCCCCCCACAGAAGAUCCAACAAGACUACUUAGUUACAAGUAUUUACACCACCACCAAGGAAAAGUGGGACAAGCACAACAUGUUCAACUGCAACAUCUGGUCUGCUGGUAGAAAUGAGUCUGUGAAACCCAAAGGAGUGUCUAAGGCCCAGGAUUUUCCACCAGAGUCAAAACUGAGUUUGGCUCUGAGCUGCAUAGAGGAUGCCAUUGAAGAGGAUGAGUUCAGCAGUCUGUGGUCCACAACCUCCUCCUUCAUAUUCCUCUUCAUAUCCUCUCUCUUCUAUAGCAUGAUAUUCAGCCUGGUCAAGAUGAAGAGACGAUAAAGGAUGAGAUGGAUGGACAGCAUAGACGACUACAGGUCUCCAGUUUUACUUUUUCUUUUUUAUUUAGUUUUAAAACUUGUACAUUAUCAAUAAUCUACUGCACAUCUACUAAAUGAAGUGGUUGUCAUAGUCAAUGAUAAACUAAACAUUGAAAAUGGAAUUCUUAACUGUUUAUAUGAAUAAAUUUAGA
This is a non-coding RNA of Micropterus dolomieu (smallmouth bass), 1993 nucleotides long. NCBI's taxonomy places the organism in Eukaryota, Metazoa, Chordata, Actinopteri, Centrarchiformes, Centrarchidae. The record is from the annotation of a RefSeq genome assembly.